Molecule: long non-coding RNA, 294 nt
Organism: Pan troglodytes (chimpanzee)
Lineage: Eukaryota; Metazoa; Chordata; Mammalia; Primates; Hominidae
Exons: 4
Source: RefSeq, a predicted model, not a curated record
GCUCAAUAUGCUGAUAUGGAAGGAAAUUUCAUUAAAAGGCAAGUUACAGAAGAGCCUGGACCAUGCAGUUGGCUCAUCAGGUAGACAUUAACUUCUGCAAUGUGCUGGAUGCUGUGUUAAGUAUACAGGCAUAAAUUUUCCCCUUGUAGGAAGACACCUGAAAUUGACCUACCUGGAACCACCAUCUAUAUUCUGGGAUACUGUGCUUCAGUCUUUUAGAAACUCUUUGAGUUACCAGAAAUUGGAGCAUUAUGGUAACAAUUUUGAAGCAAGUUCCAUCAUGUUAAAGCAAAG